AUGAACGCUGGCGGCGUGCCUAAUACAUGCCAGUCGAGCGAACAGACGAGGAGCUUGCUCCUCUAACGUUAGCGGCGGACGGGUGAGUAACACGUGGAUAACCUACCUAUAAGACUGGGAUAACUUCGGGAAACCGGAGCUAAUACCGGAUAAUAUAUUGAACCGCAUGGUUCAAUAGUGAAAGACGGUUUUGCUGUCACUUAUAGAUGGAUCCGCGCCGCAUUAGCUAGUUGGUAAGGUAACAGCUUACCAAGGCAACGAUGCGUAGCCGACCUGAGAGGGUGAUCGGCCACACUGGAACUGAGACACGGUCCAGACUCCUACGGGAGGCAGCAGUAGGGAAUCUUCCGCAAUGGGCGAAAGCCUGACGGAGCAACGCCGCGUGAGUGAUGAAGGUCUUCGGAUCGUAAAACUCUGUUAUUAGGGAAGAACAAAUGUGUAAGUAACUAUGCACGUCUUGACGGUACCUAAUCAGAAAGCCACGGCUAACUACGUG
RNAcentral lists this ribosomal RNA (496 nucleotides) under uncultured bacterium. RNAcentral's name for it is "partial 16S ribosomal RNA". It matches the Rfam family "Bacterial small subunit ribosomal RNA", at positions 29 to 507 of the family's 1533-position model. The record is from RNAcentral.